RNAcentral lists this long non-coding RNA (440 nucleotides) under Numida meleagris (helmeted guineafowl). Its description in RNAcentral is "lncRNA (ENSNMEG00000018718.1)". The record is from RNAcentral. Lineage: Eukaryota; Metazoa; Chordata; Aves; Galliformes; Numididae.
UAAACUCAAAUAUUUUUGGCCUUGCUUUCUGAACCUUUUCUUGAUUUGUCCCCAGGUAACAAGUAUUCUGAUCUCAAUAUGAGCUGCUGGUAACUUUCUGCAAAUGUGCUGAAAUCCCUGUCCUUGCUGUUAGAAGUGGAUACAGCCUGGCUGUAAGGUUUGGAGGUAAAACUAUUACUGAGGUACCACCCCCAGGACUCGGCAGCUUCUGGAUUAUUUCACGUGAGUUAGAAGGAGGCAAAUGCAGUUCACCACUGACAAUCAUUUGAAAAUCAAGCAGAUCAAUGGCUUCUGAUCACAUUCCUGGGGAUACUUAAUCUAGAAGAGGCAAAAGGGAGUCUGCGUUAACCCCAUACCUGUGAAAAUGGAUAAGUAUCUUUACUUAAAAGAACUACCAACCUAUGUAGGAUAAAUAAAGUGUUUAUAUUAAAUUUACUUCA